Molecule: small RNA, 28 nt
Filed under: Bombyx mori (domestic silkworm)
Lineage: Eukaryota; Metazoa; Arthropoda; Insecta; Lepidoptera; Bombycidae
Description: ovarian small RNA-21266
Source: RNAcentral
UACUACGCGGAGUUCGCGUUCCUCCUGG